UUUAGGGUUUUCGGUUUUAGGGCUCUUCGCGGGAGCGAUGAUCUUCAGACGGUGGAAUCUCCUCACGGGCACCGCAGCUGCCUUCUCGGCUGUGCUGGGCGUCUCGAUCGCCGCUGGAUUGCUGCUGCAUUCUGCCCAGCAGAAGCCGCCGGCCAAAGCACAGGAGAAAGAGACGAAGAAAUGAUCCAAUGUAAAAUCGAUCGAAUCUAGGAUCGCUCCGAAAUAAAGAAGAUUAGAAAGUUCUUUGUAUU
Molecule: long non-coding RNA, 251 nt
Organism: Selaginella moellendorffii
Lineage: Eukaryota; Viridiplantae; Streptophyta; Lycopodiopsida; Selaginellales; Selaginellaceae
Exons: 2
Source: RefSeq, a predicted model, not a curated record